Molecule: ribosomal RNA, 1223 nt
Filed under: metagenome
Description: bacterial SSU rRNA
Rfam family: Bacterial small subunit ribosomal RNA
Source: RNAcentral
AGAGUUUGAUCCUGGCUCAGGAUGAACGCUAGCUACAGGCUUAACACAUGCAAGUCGAGGGGAAACGAUAUUGGAAGCUUGCUUCCGAUAGGCGUCGACCGGCGCACGGGUGAGUAACGCGUAUCCAACCUGCCCACCACUUGGGGAUAACCUUGCGAAAGUAAGACUAAUACCCAAUGAUAUCUCUAGAAGACAUCUGAAAGAGAUUAAAGAUUUAUCGGUGAUGGAUGGGGAUGCGUCUGAUUAGCUUGUUGGCGGGGUAACGGCCCACCAAGGCAACGAUCAGUAGGGGUUCUGAGAGGAAGGUCCCCCACAUUGGAACUGAGACACGGUCCAAACUCCUACGGGAGGCAGCAGUGAGGAAUAUUGGUCAAUGGACGAGAGUCUGAACCAGCCAAGUAGCGUGCAGGAAGACGGCCCUAUGGGUUGUAAACUGCUUUUAUAAGGGAAUAAAGUGAGAGUCGUGACUCUUUUUGCAUGUACCUUAUGAAUAAGGACCGGCUAAUUCCGUGCCAGCAGCCGCGGUAAUACGGAAGGUCCGGGCGUUAUCCGGAUUUAUUGGGUUUAAAGGGAGCGUAGGCCGGAGAUUAAGCGUGUUGUGAAAUGUAGACGCUCAACGUCUGCACUGCAGCGCGAACUGGUUUCCUUGAGUACGCACAAAGUGGGCGGAAUUCGUGGUGUAGCGGUGAAAUGCUUAGAUAUCACGAAGAACUCCGAUUGCGAAGGCAGCUCACUGGAGCGCAACUGACGCUGAAGCUCGAAAGUGCGGGUAUCGAACAGGAUUAGAUACCCUGGUAGUCCGCACGGUAAACGAUGGAUGCCCGCUGUUGGUCUGAAUAGGUCAGCGGCCAAGCGAAAGCAUUAAGCAUCCCACCUGGGGAGUACGCCGGCAACGGUGAAACUCAAAGGAAUUGACAGGGGCCCGCACAAGCGGAGGAACAUGUGGUUUAAUUCGAUGAUACGCGAGGAACCUUACCCGGGCUUGAAUUGCAGAGGAAGGAUUUGGAGACAAUGACGCCCUUCGGGGCCUCUGUGAAGGUGCUGCAUGGUUGUCGUCAGCUCGUGCCGUGAGGUGUCGGCUUAAGUGCCAUAACGAGCGCAACCCCUCUCCUUAGUUGCCAUCAGGUUAAGCUGGGCACUCUGGGGACACUGCCACCGUAAGGUGUGAGGAAGGUGGGGAUGACGUCAAAUCAGCACGGCCCUUACGUCCGGGGCUACACACG